GACGAACGCUGGCGGCGUGCCUAAUACAUGCAAGUAGAACGCUGAAGGAGGAGCUUGCUCUUCUGGAUGAGUUGCGAACGGGUGAGUAACGCGUAGGUAACCUGCCUGGUAGCGGGGGAUAACUAUUGGAAACGAUAGCUAAUACCGCAUAAGAGUAGAUGUUGCAUGACAUUUGCUUAAAAGGUGCAAUUGCAUCACUACCAGAUGGACCUGCGUUGUAUUAGCUAGUUGGUGAGGUAACGGCUCACCAAGGCAACGAUACAUAGCCGACCUGAGAGGGUGAUCGGCCACACUGGGACUGAGACACGGCCCAGACUCCUACGGGAGGCAGCAGUAGGGAAUCUUCGGCAAUGGACGGAAGUCUGACCGAGCAACGCCGCGUGAGUGAAGAAGGUUUUCGGAUCGUAAAGCUCUGUUGUAAGAGAAGAACGAGUGUGAGAGUGGAAAAGUUCACAACUGUGACGGU
Molecule: ribosomal RNA, 466 nt
Filed under: Streptococcus mitis
Lineage: Bacteria; Bacillati; Bacillota; Bacilli; Lactobacillales; Streptococcaceae
Description: bacterial SSU rRNA
Rfam family: Bacterial small subunit ribosomal RNA
Source: RNAcentral